Molecule: long non-coding RNA, 1318 nt
Organism: Erythranthe guttata (spotted monkey flower)
Lineage: Eukaryota; Viridiplantae; Streptophyta; Magnoliopsida; Lamiales; Phrymaceae
Source: RefSeq, a predicted model, not a curated record
UAUAUUUUCUUAUAAGGAAAAAUGCAACAUAAAAUUCAUGAUACCAAUUAAUCUUUUCUAAGGUUUAUAUUUACUUGACCCUUCGAUUUUUAUAUUUUUCAUAUAAAAUAUAGGAUGAAUUACAGUUUGCAUCCUUGUACUAUCGAAAAUGUCGCAUUUACCCCCUGUACUAUCAAAAUCUACAAAUACCCCCUGCUUUUAACAGUCAAUGAACAAACAUUUGACAGUGUUAACUUUUACUGUGCAAUUACUCUUCUACCCUCAUUUUUACACCUGAUGAGUGUCGAAAUUUCUCCAAGUCGUUUCAUUCUCUCACAACAACACACACUCACUCUCCGCCUCUCGUUUCGAAUGUUCAUAAGGCAAAAACUCUCACAAAAAUCUCCCUUUCUCUCUGAAUUUUCGCGAAAUUGGUUUGAAGAACUAUUGUACGAGUGCAUUCGAAGGACGCUUACUGUAGAAGAAGAAAAAAUGAAUGAUCAAUUGUUUACUCUUAAGAACCACCGAGGAGGGAGAUUCACUUGAUGGGUUUGACUAUAUUGGAGUUGAUGGUUCCAGAAAAAUAAGACAUAUAAUGUUUGGAUCUAAGACACGGUUGUUGAGAAUUUGAACCAUUAGAAGACAGUUUAGCAUGAAUUUAUUUUAAAGGAAACGAAGCUGGAAAAAAAAUAGGAAUUGAAGUUGAAUAAAAUGCAGACAGGGAGAAAAGAAAAUAGGAGAAAAACGAGAAAAAAAGAGGGAGAAACCAUAGAAAUAUUUGGAACUAAAAUCGAAUCAAAAAUCGGAAUUUUCGAUAAUUUUAUAUACCAUUCUAAUUUCGUUCUCCAGGGUUCAGCGGAGGGUGGUUCGUACUUUUCGCGAAGGAAAUCGAUCGGCAGAUGGACUUGCCGAAUGUGCACAUGCUCACAAAGAGAAGAAGCAAUUUAAAGAGACAAGCGAUCUCCCUCGCCAUAUUAGGUCACUAUUUCUUCAAGAUAGGAUCGGAAUUCCUCAGCUUCGUACAACUUCAAGAUGAAAAGGACUAGAUCCGGCAGGUGGAGUGGGGAUGAGAAAUUUCGAUAUUUGCACUUUCAGCCUAGGUGGGGUUCAUUUAGGAAGUUUCCUUUUCUAUUAUUCCAUUUUCACCCCAAGUUGGGGCUGUUGUGUAAUAUUCUAAAUAAAUGAAAAGUUUCGAUAUUUGCACUUUCAGCCUAGGUGGGGUUCAUUUAGGAAGCUUCAUUUUCUAUUAUUUCAUUUGCACCCCAAGUUGGGGCUGUUGGGUAAUAUUCUAAAUAGAGUUUCCUUUGAUUUUUAUUGCCAUUGUAGGGGUACUUUUUUU